RNAcentral lists this ribosomal RNA (1474 nucleotides) under metagenome. RNAcentral describes it as "bacterial SSU rRNA". It matches the Rfam family "Bacterial small subunit ribosomal RNA". The record is from RNAcentral.
AGAGUUUGAUCCUGGCUCAGAAUGAACGCUGGCAGCAUGGAUUAGGCAUGCAAGUCGAGCGCGAAGCUUCAGCUUGCUGAAGUGGAGAGCGGCGAAAGGGUGAGUAACACGUGAACAAUCUGCCCUGAAGUUUGGGAUAGCCCAUGGAAACGUGGAUUAAUACCGGAUGUGGCGGUCAGCUUAUGGCUGACUUGCUAAAGGUUUACUGCUUCAGGAGGAGUUCGCGUACCAUCAGCUUGUUGGUAAGGUAACGGCUUACCAAGGCAACGACGGUUAGGUGGUCUGAGAGGACGAUCACCCACACUGGGACUGAGACACUGCCCAGACUCCUACGGGAGGCUGCAGUCGAGAAUCUUCCGCAAUGGACGAAAGUCUGACGGAGCGAUGCUGCGUGCCGGAUGAAGGCCUUCGGGUCGUAAACGGCUGUCACUCGGGACGAAUAUUUGACGGUACCGAGAGAGGAAGCCACGGCUAACUACGUGCCAGCAGCCGCGGUAAUACGUAGGUGGCGAGCGUUAUUCGGAUUUAUUGGGCGUAAAGGGUUCGUAGGGGGCUGUGCGUGUCUGAUGUGAAAUCUCAAGGCUCAACCUUGAAACUGCAUUGGAAACUGCAUAGCUAGAGUAUCGGAGAGGUAAGCGGAAUUCCUGGUGUAGCGGUGGAAUGCGUAGAUAUCAGGAAGAACACCGAUGGCGAAGGCAGCUUACUGGACGAUAACUGACCCUGAGGAACGAAAGCUAGGGGAGCGAACAGGAUUAGAUACCCUGGUAGUCCUAGCUGUAAACGUUGUGCACUAGGUGUAGGCGGAUUUGGUCCCGUCUGUGCCCAAGUUAACGCGUUAAGUGCACCGCCUGGGGAGUACGGCCGCAAGGCUAAAACUCAAAGGAAUUGACGGGGGCCCGCACAAGCGGUGGAGCAUGUGGCUUAAUUCGAGGCACGCGAAGAACCUUACCUGGGCUUGACAUAUAAUUGCCGAUCAUGGAAACAUGGUUUCUCUUCGGAGCGGUUAUACAGGUGCUGCAUGGCUGUCGUCAGCUCGUGCCGUGAGGUGUUCGGUUAAGUCCGGCAACGAGCGCAACCCAUGCUGUUAGUUACCAUCAGGUAAUGCUGGGGACUCUAACAGGACUGCCCGUGCUAAGCGGGAGGAAGGCGUGGACGACGACAAGUCCGUAUGGCCCUUACGCCCAGGCCUGCACACGUGCUACAAUGGCCGGUACAGAGGGACGCUACCCUGCGAAGGGACGCCAAUCCCGAAAACCGGCCCCAGUUCGGAUCGCAGUCUGCAACUCGACUGCGUGAAGUCGGAAUCGCUAGUAAAGGCGUAUCAGCAACGACGCCUUGAAUACGUUCCCGGGCCUUGUACACACCGCCCGUCACAUCAUGGAAGCUGGCCGUACCCGAAGUCGCUGACCGAACCCGCAAGGGACGGAGGCGCCGAAGGUGUGGCUAGUGACUGGGAUGAAGUCGUAACAAGGUA